This 58-nucleotide transfer RNA is filed under the name Ruminococcus sp. CAG:382. It matches the Rfam family "tRNA", at positions 1 to 56 of the family's 71-position model. From Rfam's summary of the family: Transfer RNA (tRNA) molecules are approximately 80 nucleotides in length. Their secondary structure includes four short double-helical elements and three loops (D, anti-codon, and T loops). Further hydrogen bonds mediate the characteristic L-shaped molecular structure. tRNAs have two regions of fundamental functional importance: the anti-codon, which is responsible for specific mRNA codon recognition, and the 3' end, to which the tRNAs corresponding amino acid is attached (by aminoacyl-tRNA synthetases). tRNAs cope with the degeneracy of the genetic code in two manners: having more than one tRNA (with a specific anti-codon) for a particular amino acid; and 'wobble' base-pairing, i.e. permitting non-standard base-pairing at the 3rd anti-codon position. The record is from Rfam by way of RNAcentral. Lineage: Bacteria; Bacillati; Bacillota; Clostridia; Eubacteriales; Oscillospiraceae.
GCGGAUUUAGCUCAUUUGGUAGAGCGCCACCUUGCCAAGGUGGAGGUAGCGGGUUCGA